UAAUUUUCACCUUUUUCAUGCCCAAUCAAAUAACUUUUGCAUCGUCAUGCCUGUUAGUCUAGCCUUUCUUCAUAAUAACGGUUUGAGAGUUUCAAGGAAAGCAAUUGAACCAACCAUUUGAUCUGUCAUUUCCUCUUUCCUGUCUUCCACUACAAUCCCAUCCACCUAUCAGACUAUUCAUCUUCAAGCCACUCUCAUAAACCAAGGAAAGUUUUUACUUUACCAGCCAUUUCAAAACUUCUCUCUUCCUCUUUUCAUCUACCCCCUUUCUCAAUCUGGUUAACACAAUCUGUCUUUAUCUUUCUGGCUAUCAGCAUAUCCUGGUGCACUUUCGAUCAGGUAAAACAUCUCCUUCCUCUUCAACAUUUCAGUAGCUAAAAUAUAAGCUAGGUGAUUCGCAGAUCUGUGGGUGUAUUCAAAGAUAAAAAUUUUAGAUCUGAGUAAAAGCUAUUGAAUAUCUUGAAUGUAUGCCCCUAUCUGUGAUUUAUCCUAUUCUUUUGUUUUGCAUUUUUUGAUUACUGUUAAUGAGUCACCUUCUACAAUAAUCUGUGGCCAUUGCAUGUUUAUGCCAAUUUGAACUGCUUUGCGGCAAGCGAGAGCCUCAGCCGCAAAAGCUGAGGGGAUUUCUUGAUGGAUCUCUGAGCUAGAUAGUAGAACUACUCCUUUGCUAUUCCUUGCUACGAUCCCUGAAGCUAAUAGGCAGAGCCAUGUAUCAUAAGCCCCAUCAAAAUUUAUUUUGAUUGACUGUUCAGAUUGACCAUAGAGCACAACAGAAAAGUCUACAAUGGAAAUAAGUGUUUUGAUCCAAAAUCCAGGACACUCAUGUAUCAGAUGGGCCAUAGUUUCUGCUCCGCUUCCGCAACGGGGGCAUAUUACAGUAGUUGAUAACUUUCUAUGCUGCAUAUUGGCUUGUGUAGCCAGAUAAUUCCAAGAGAUUUUCCAAACUGUAAUCUUAAUUUUAGAAGGUAGCUUAAGUAGCCAUAGUUUUUUUUGUAGAAAUUACUGUAGUCGGUAUGUAAAGCAUGAGCUCUAGUAUCAUUUUCAGAAGCUUGUAAUAGUUUAUAGGCGCUGCGCACUAAGUACUCCCCCGAGGGCUCUCCACACCAGGCCAUAAAGUCGUCAUGAGGAUCCUUCGCCAGCGGGAUACUAAGUAUCUUCCCAGCAAUUUCCUCCGAGAAGGAUUCGCCAUAUAUCUGCUAACUGCACUAAUUGCAUAUGAUUAAUCUGGACGUGAACAAAUCAUAACAUACAUGAGAGAUCCCACUGCACUAGAGUAUGAAACAUGUGACAUGUACUCAAUCUCAUCAUCUGAUUGUGGAGACAAAGUCUGAAAUGGGUUGCUAAAGGAGUACUAACAGGCUUAGCACUCUAUAUAUUGAACCUGCAAAGAACUUUCUCAAUGUACUCCUUCUGACUUAGGUACAAUUUACUUGCUUUUGUAUCUCUGAGAAUCUUCAUACCAAGUAUCUUAUUUGUUGGUCCCAAA
Long non-coding RNA from Gossypium arboreum, 1486 nucleotides. RefSeq lists it as uncharacterized. The transcript is spliced from 4 exons. Lineage: Eukaryota; Viridiplantae; Streptophyta; Magnoliopsida; Malvales; Malvaceae. The record is from RefSeq and is a predicted model, not a curated record.